AAAAUAUUGACUCUUAUCGUUAAUAUUAAUAUAAGUAUUUAAAAUGAUGUUCCUUUAAAUUUAAGUAAUUGAUAAAAUUACAUGUCAGGUUCAAUUGAAACCAACUUCAAGCAAUUAAAAAAAAGUUAUGAUGCAUAAUACGGUCAAAGAAAGAUUAAAUAGACUCCAUGCGGUGAUGAAAAGAAAAUAAAUCUGAACUUGGAUUGAGUUUAAUCUCGUUUUCUUACUUUACAAAUUCGAACUCAUUCAUUAACAGAGGAAAGAUCUCAGACAUUUUCCUUACAAUUUGACUUUAUUACAACACUCGAAGAACGUCCAUUGUAUAGAAGGA
RNAcentral lists this long non-coding RNA (331 nucleotides) under Mytilus galloprovincialis (Mediterranean mussel). The record is from RNAcentral. Lineage: Eukaryota; Metazoa; Mollusca; Bivalvia; Mytilida; Mytilidae.